This 253-nucleotide ribosomal RNA is filed under the name uncultured bacterium. RNAcentral's name for it is "partial 16S ribosomal RNA". It matches the Rfam family "Bacterial small subunit ribosomal RNA", at positions 524 to 776 of the family's 1533-position model. The record is from RNAcentral.
UACGUAGGGUGCGAGCGUUAAUCGGAAUUACUGGGCGUAAAGCGUGCGCAGGCGGUUUUGUAAGCCAGAUGUGAAAUCCCCGGGCUUAACCUGGGAAUGGCAUUUGGGACUGCAAGGCUGGAGUUUGGCAGAGGAGACUGGAAUUCCUAGUGUAGCAGUGAAAUGCGUAGAUAUCAGGAGGAAUACCGAUGGCGAAGGCAGGUCUCUGGGCUAUAACUGACGCUCAUGCACGAAAGCGUGGGGAGCAAACAGG